GCCCCAAACCAACAUGAUAAUGACAUAUUUACUACAGUACCAAGACCACAGGCCAGUCAUUUUUCAAUAAUCAAUAUAGUGUGCACUUACUAUGCAUGUUGCUUAGUGGGACUUCUGGCAUUCCUUCCCUUGAACAAUCCUCCUCAAAUCUGGCUCGUACUCCGUUGUUGCCACUCGAAGCAAUUCUUUCACAUGGGUGUCAGUCAUAACAGAGCGGUGUUUUGAUUUGACAUAUUUCAUGGUAGAAAACACAGACUCACAGACGUACGUUGAGCCAAACAUUGACAUGCCCGUGCAAUGUUCCAAGCCAGUUUAUACGAUGCAAGUGUUACUGUCUCUGACUGCUUCGUAAAUUUUUUGAAAACCUGUACCUGCUUUUCUGCCUGACUUUUCAAAGUGGUCAGCUUGUGCUUGCGAAGUUCAGUCCCUUUUGGAAAUUCCUGGUCAAUGUUAGCGUGGAGUGAGCUGAAGUGACGCUGAAGAUUUGAAGCCUUGAAAUGCACCAAUGACGACUGACAUAUAAGGCAGAAUGGCUUGCCAUUACGUUCGAC
Molecule: long non-coding RNA, 551 nt
Organism: Thalassophryne amazonica
Lineage: Eukaryota; Metazoa; Chordata; Actinopteri; Batrachoidiformes; Batrachoididae
Exons: 3
Source: RefSeq, a predicted model, not a curated record